GAGGAGGCACAUCUUGCAUCACUUUCUCUUGUCCCUUUGGAUAGUAUAUUCCCGUACCUUCAU
Molecule: small RNA, 63 nt
Filed under: Arabidopsis thaliana (thale cress)
Lineage: Eukaryota; Viridiplantae; Streptophyta; Magnoliopsida; Brassicales; Brassicaceae
Description: ATSL071670
Source: RNAcentral